Molecule: ribosomal RNA, 253 nt
Filed under: uncultured bacterium
Lineage: Bacteria
Description: partial 16S ribosomal RNA
Rfam family: Bacterial small subunit ribosomal RNA
Source: RNAcentral
UACGGGGGGGGCAAGCGUUGUUCGGAAUUACUGGGCGUAAAGGGCGUGUAGGCGGCCUUCUAAGUCAGACGUGAAAUCCCCAGGCUUAACUUGGGAACUGCGUCUGAUACUGGGAGGCUUGAAUGCGGGAGAGGGAUGUGGAAUUCCAGGUGUAGCGGUGAAAUGCGUAGAUAUCUGGAGGAACACCGGUGGCGAAGGCGACAUCCUGGACCGGUAUUGACGCUGAGGCGCGAAAGCCAGGGGAGCAAACGGG